Molecule: long non-coding RNA, 489 nt
Filed under: Mytilus galloprovincialis (Mediterranean mussel)
Lineage: Eukaryota; Metazoa; Mollusca; Bivalvia; Mytilida; Mytilidae
Source: RNAcentral
AAUUGGGGUUCUUUGAUAUGCCGAAUCUAACUGUCAUGACUGUGUAUGUAGAUUCUUAACCUUUGGUCCGGUUUUCAAAUUGGUCUACAUUAAGGUCCAAAGGGUCCAAAAUUAAACUUAGUUUGAUUUUGACAAAAAAUGAAUCAGUUAGGUUCUUUGAUAUGCUGAAUCUAAAAAUGUACUUAGAUUCUUGAUUAUUGGCCCAGUUUUCAAGUUGGUCCAAAUCGGGGUCCAAAAUUAAACUUUGUUUGAUUUCAUCAAAAAUUGAAUAAAUGGGGUUCUUUGAUAUACCAAAUCUAACUGUGUAUGUAGAUUCUUCAUUUUUGGUCCUGUUUUCAAAUUGGUCUACACUAAAGUCCAAAGGGUCCAAAAUUAAACUUAGUCUGAUUUUAAACAAAAAUUGAAAUCUUGGGGUUCUUUGAAAUGCUGAAUCCAAAAAUGUACUUAGAUUUUUUAUUAUGGGCCAGUUUUCAAGUUGGUCCAAAUCAG